AGAGUUUGAUCAUGGCUCAGGACGAACGCUGGCGGCGUGCCUAAUACAUGCAAGUAGAACGCUGAAGAGAGGAGCUUGCUCUUCUUGGAUGAGUUGCGAACGGGUGAGUAACGCGUAGGUAACCUGCCUUGUAGCGGGGGAUAACUAUUGGAAACGAUAGCUAAUACCGCAUAACAAUGGAUGACCCAUGUCAUUUAUUUGAAAGGGGCAAAUGCUCCACUACAAGAUGGACCUGCGUUGUAUUAGCUAGUAGGUGAGGUAACGGCUCACCUAGGCGACGAUACAUAGCCGACCUGAGAGGGUGAUCGGCCACACUGGGACUGAGACACGGCCCAGACUCCUACGGGAGGCAGCAGUAGGGAAUCUUCGGCAAUGGGGGCAACCCUGACCGAGCAACGCCGCGUGAGUGAAGAAGGUUUUCGGAUCGUAAAGCUCUGUUGUAAGUCAAGAACGAGUGUGAGAGUGGAAAGUUCACACUGUGACGGUAGCUUACCAGAAAGGGACGGCUAACUACGUGCCAGCAGCCGCGGUAAUACGUAGGUCCCGAGCGUUGUCCGGAUUUAUUGGGCGUAAAGCGAGCGCAGGCGGUUUGAUAAGUCUGAAGUUAAAGGCUGUGGCUCAACCAUAGUUCGCUUUGGAAACUGUCAAACUUGAGUGCAGAAGGGGAGAGUGGAAUUCCAUGUGUAGCGGUGAAAUGCGUAGAUAUAUGGAGGAACACCGGUGGCGAAAGCGGCUCUCUGGUCUGUAACUGACGCUGAGGCUCGAAAGCGUGGGGAGCGAACAGGAUUAGAUACCCUGGUAGUCCACGCCGUAAACGAUGAGUGCUAGGUGUUGGAUCCUUUCCGGGAUUCAGUGCCGCAGCUAACGCAUUAAGCACUCCGCCUGGGGAGUACGACCGCAAGGUUGAAACUCAAAGGAAUUGACGGGGGCCCGCACAAGCGGUGGAGCAUGUGGUUUAAUUCGAAGCAAUGCGAAGAACCUUACCAGGUCUUGACAUCCCGAUGCUAUUUCUAGAGAUAGAAAGUUACUUCGGUACAUCGGUGACAGGUGGUGCAUGGUUGUCGUCAGCUCGUGUCGUGAGAUGUUGGGUUAAGUCCCGCAACGAGCGCAACCCCUAUUGUUAGUUGCCAUCAUUCAGUUGGGCACUCUAGCGAGACUGCCGGUAAUAAACCGGAGGAAGGUGGGGAUGACGUCAAAUCAUCAUGCCCCUUAUGACCUGGGCUACACACGUGCUACAAUGGUUGGUACAACGAGUUGCGAGUCGGUGACGGCAAGCUAUCUCUUAAAGCCAAUCUCAGUUCGGAUUGUAGGCUGCAACUCGCCUACAUGAAGUCGGAAUCGCUAGUAAUCGCGGAUCAGCACGCCGCGGUGAAUACGUUCCCGGGCCUUGUACACACCGCCCGUCACACCACGAGAGUUUGUAACACCCGAAGUCGGUGAGGUAACCUUUUGGAGCCAGCCGCCUAAGGUGGGAUAGAUGAUUGGGGUGAAGUCGUAACAAGGUA
Molecule: ribosomal RNA, 1505 nt
Filed under: metagenome
Description: bacterial SSU rRNA
Rfam family: Bacterial small subunit ribosomal RNA
Source: RNAcentral